AAUGGAGCUGGUCAGAAGAAGAAGUAUUUUUUGCAAGGUCAAUGCUGUUUACACAAUUGAUCACUCAGAAAAUCUGGAUGAUAUGCAUCUCUUGAGGAAGAAGACUGGCAGAUAGAUGAAAAAUGUGAAAUGUACUAUGGCGUAGAGAAGACAGCUGUGGAUUUGCAACGGGGAAGGCAAAGAGACAUCCAGAUGCUGUCUGGCCUGCUGAGUUCCUCUGGCAUCUUGUGUACGUUGCUUUGCAUGUCCUGCACCUACAGACUUUCUCGUGCUUGUGAUCAGAGAAGACCUUAAUCCACACUGACAAAAUGGAAAAAGUGCUGAUGCCAGAGAAGGUAGUGGGCUUGGGUUUUCGAGUUCAUAGGGUGCAUUGCAUUCACACCGCCCGGUUUGGUGAAGGCCUCCCCACAAUGUGAUGUACAGAUGCUCUGACUUUACGAUGUUGGGUUCAGGGAUUGCAGACCAUC
Long non-coding RNA from Mobula hypostoma (lesser devil ray), 467 nucleotides. RefSeq lists it as uncharacterized. The transcript is spliced from 3 exons. The record is from RefSeq and is a predicted model, not a curated record. NCBI's taxonomy places the organism in Eukaryota, Metazoa, Chordata, Chondrichthyes, Myliobatiformes, Myliobatidae.